Molecule: long non-coding RNA, 210 nt
Filed under: Hordeum vulgare
Lineage: Eukaryota; Viridiplantae; Streptophyta; Magnoliopsida; Poales; Poaceae
Description: long non-coding RNA (HVUL_LNC009244)
Source: RNAcentral
UUACAUAUAAGUUGAAUGACUGUCCAAACUAAAGAGACAUACAAGUUCAUUAAAGUUUAAUUACAACAUGAGCUAAUCGAUAUUUCAGAACUACAUAGCAUCAAUACUUUUGACUCGACUCAGGGACCGGAGCGUGGAUGAAGCCGCCGUCUUUCGUGAUGGUCAUGAAUGUGCGGUUGUUGUCAGCCUGCAUUUGUAGCGUUGUGUCUA